Molecule: long non-coding RNA, 168 nt
Organism: Poecilia latipinna (sailfin molly)
Lineage: Eukaryota; Metazoa; Chordata; Actinopteri; Cyprinodontiformes; Poeciliidae
Exons: 3
Source: RefSeq, a predicted model, not a curated record
GACAACCAGGCUGCUGCUGAGUCCGGCUCGGCCCGGAUGGGACCCGUUAGCACCAGGAAAAAUUCACCUGGAUUUACAAAGAUUUUAGCCACAAAGCUCAGGAUUCUGCUCCCAGUUCCGGGUCUGGGCUCCUUUUGCUUUAAUUUCAUGGUCCAGAACCAGAACCAG